Molecule: ribosomal RNA, 467 nt
Filed under: uncultured bacterium
Lineage: Bacteria
Description: bacterial SSU rRNA
Rfam family: Bacterial small subunit ribosomal RNA
Source: RNAcentral
AACGAACGCUGGCGGCGUGGAUAAGACAUGCAAGUCGAACGGGACUAAAUCUGUAGCAAUACAGGUUUAGUUUAGUGGCGAACGGGUGCGUAACACGUGGGCAAUCUGCCGAGAAGUGGGGGAUAGCUCGCCGAAAGGCGAAUUAAUACCGCAUAUGAUCAGUGAAGACAUCUUCACGACAUCAAAGCCGGGGCAACCUGGCGCUUCUUGAUGAGCCCGCGGCCUAUCAGCUAGUUGGUGAGGUAACGGCUCACCAAGGCUAUGACGGGUAGCUGGUCUGAGAGGACGACCAGUCACACUGGAACUGAGACACGGUCCAGACACCUACGGGUGGCAGCAGUCGAGAAUUUUUCUCAAUGGGGAAACCCUGAAGGAGCGACGCCGCGUGGAGGAUGAAGGCUUUCGGGUUGUAACUCCUGUCAUUUGAGAACAAGGUGCAUCGAGUAACUACCGAUGCAUUGAUAGUA